UACGUAGGGGGCAAGCGUUGUCCGGAAUCAUUGGGCGUAAAGCGCGCGUAGGCGGCCCGGUAAGUCCGUUGUGAAAGUCAAAGGCUCAACCUUUGAACGCCGAUGGAUACUGCCGGGCUAGAGUCCGGAAGAGGCGAGUGGAAUUCCUGGUGUAGCGGUGGAAUGCGCAGAUAUCAGGAGGAACACCGGUGGCGAAGGCGGCAUCCUGGACCGAGAUUGACGCUGAGGCGCGAAAGCUAGGGGAGCAAACGGG
Molecule: ribosomal RNA, 253 nt
Filed under: uncultured bacterium
Lineage: Bacteria
Description: partial 16S ribosomal RNA
Rfam family: Bacterial small subunit ribosomal RNA
Source: RNAcentral